This 25-nucleotide ribosomal RNA is filed under the name Anopheles albertoi. RNAcentral's name for it is "partial 28S ribosomal RNA". The record is from RNAcentral. Lineage: Eukaryota; Metazoa; Arthropoda; Insecta; Diptera; Culicidae.
UGGGCCUCAAAUAAUGUGUGACUAC